RNAcentral lists this ribosomal RNA (254 nucleotides) under uncultured bacterium. RNAcentral describes it as "partial 16S ribosomal RNA". It matches the Rfam family "Bacterial small subunit ribosomal RNA", at positions 524 to 776 of the family's 1533-position model. The record is from RNAcentral.
UACGGGGGGGGCAAGCGUUGUUCGGAAUUACUGGGCGUAAAGGGCUCGUAGGCGGCCAACUAAGUCAGACGUGAAAUCCCUCGGCUUAACCGGAGAACUGCGUCUGAUACUGGAUGGCUUGAGUUUGGGAGAGGGAUGCGGAAUUCCAGGUGUAGCGGUGAAAUGCGUAGAUAUCUGGAGGAACACCGGUGGCGAAGGCGGCAUCCUGGACCAACACUGACGCUGAGUGAGCGAAAGCCAGGGGAGCAAACGGG